AUACGGAGGGUGCGAACGUUGUUCGGAAUUACUGGGCGUAAAGCGCGCGUAGGCGGUUUGUUAAGUCAGAUGUGAAAGCCCAAGGCUCAACCUUGGACGUGCAUUUGAAACUGGCAGACUUGAGUACUGGAGGGGAUGGUGGAAUUCCCGGUGUAGAGGUGAAAUUCGUAGAUAUCGGGAGGAAUACCGGUGGCGAAGGCGACCAUCUGGCCAGAUACUGACGCUGAGGUGCGAAAGCAUGGGGAGCAAACAGGAUUAGAAACCCCAGUAGUCC
RNAcentral lists this ribosomal RNA (274 nucleotides) under uncultured bacterium. Its description in RNAcentral is "partial 16S ribosomal RNA". It matches the Rfam family "Bacterial small subunit ribosomal RNA", at positions 523 to 796 of the family's 1533-position model. The record is from RNAcentral.